CGGCCCGCCGGGUCGCCAUCCCGGUGCUGGUGCGGGACGGAAAGCCGUGCGGCCGGGCU
MicroRNA precursor from Astatotilapia calliptera (eastern happy), 59 nucleotides. Lineage: Eukaryota; Metazoa; Chordata; Actinopteri; Cichliformes; Cichlidae. The record is from Ensembl.